This 253-nucleotide ribosomal RNA is filed under the name uncultured Atopobium sp. RNAcentral describes it as "partial 16S ribosomal RNA". It matches the Rfam family "Bacterial small subunit ribosomal RNA", at positions 524 to 776 of the family's 1533-position model. The record is from RNAcentral. Lineage: Bacteria; Bacillati; Actinomycetota; Coriobacteriia; Coriobacteriales; Atopobiaceae.
UACGGAGGGGGGCAAGCGUUAUCCGGAUUCAUUGGGCGUAAAGCGCUCGUAGGCGGCUUGUUAGGUCGGGAGUUAAAUCCCGGGGCUCAACCCCGGCACGCUCCCGAUACCGGCAGGCUUGAGUUUGGUAGGGGAAAGUGGAAUUCCAAGUGUAGCGGUGGAAUGCGCAGAUAUUUGGAAGAACACCAGUGGCGAAGGCGGCUUUCUGGGCCAUAACUGACGCUGAGGAGCGAAAGCUAGGGGAGCAAACAGG